Molecule: long non-coding RNA, 590 nt
Organism: Alnus glutinosa
Lineage: Eukaryota; Viridiplantae; Streptophyta; Magnoliopsida; Fagales; Betulaceae
Exons: 3
Source: RefSeq, a predicted model, not a curated record
AGAGCACUUGGAAUCUGUUGAGCACCUUGAGCACACAACGCCCCCUUCAAAUCCAAAUAUGUCCACUGACAAGGAAAUGAGUAUUGAAGCUCAUUCCUUCAUCACAAUUCCUCUUGAGACAUUUCAUGAGCCCCAAGCUUCAGUUCUUCAAUAUCUCCAAAAGCCAUCUUUUGCUAAAAGCCUCAAGGAUUGAUGCACACAAAAUAAAAAAUCUAGGAACCAUCGUCCUACGAAGAUCCUUUGAAGCAAGCAAGUUGGCUACCUAAGAAGGCGACACAUUCUUCCAGAGGGGUAUCAAAUGUUAAAGAAGAAAGGGUGGAAGGGAUUGAUUGGACAUCCACGUGAUCGGAGAAGGCGCUUUUGUGACAGGUGUGCUCGUGUUUAAGUUUGGGGGACGUCCUGGCCUUUUUCACACUUUGAUGUUUCCUUACUCCUGCAGGAAUACCAAGUUGGAGAGGGUUGAGUUCUCUUCUAAAGACGUCAAAGCAGGACAAAAGGAUAACGAGAGCGCCUAUUACGAGAGGCGGUACAAGAUUGAGUCAUCCAUCUUUUGCAAAUGACAAUUUGCUCUAUAAAGUGAAAAUUAUUGA